This is a long non-coding RNA of Columba livia (rock pigeon), 3455 nucleotides long. RefSeq lists it as uncharacterized. Lineage: Eukaryota; Metazoa; Chordata; Aves; Columbiformes; Columbidae. The record is from RefSeq and is a predicted model, not a curated record. The transcript has 2 exons.
GGGGCGCGGAGGCAACGUAUCGUCCUCCUGCGGCCCGGCCGGCAGAGCCGGGCGCCCUCUCCCUGACCCCACAGCCCCCUCUGAGGUCAGCGAUUGUCGUUGUCGUUACCGGCAUCAAUACCUCAACAGCCCCGAACAAGUCCGCGGGCGCGCAGGGCUUCCGCGGAGCCAGCGCGACUUUUCCUCCCCGACUGUCGCUGCUAGAGCUGCAGGCGCAGGGCGGCUGUUUUGGGGAGGGGAGGCGCUUGCCUUGCGCGGAGCCUGCGCACCCCUGCGCGCCCCACCGACCGGGCAACGACCGGGGCUGCGCCCCCAGGCGACAUCUCCCCCACAGCGUGGGCAGCGAGGGGCAAAUGAUGUCGCGCAACCUCCGCGGUGGCGGGGAUCGUUUUAAGAAGCAAGGGGGGCAGGAAGGGGAUCGGAAAGCGGCGUGUUGGGGGCCGGAGCGAGCCAGCCCAGCAGGGCCACAGGCCGGUGGGACCCCUGAAAGCAGUAAGGGAGUCCCCCAAAACCGUCAGUAGGCGCAGGCAGCCAGCAGCCCCUGAACUGCCGCUUCGCCCUCUUAAAUGAGCCAUUCACUUAAAGGCUAUUACGGGCGAAUUAAUAAAUUACACAGCGAAUUAUUAAAUCCAGAUAAUUACAAGGAAUAAGUAAGUAAUCAUUAGUUAUCUCAGCUAAUUACUGUGGGUCAGAGCGAGCGAGAAUGUGAAAUCCUCCUCGGGAAUUGAAAUUAACUUUGCACAGUGAGUCUCUCUGCUUGACAUCCCCAGUCUGUAGGCACAUGGCAGCUCCCCUGUGAGCUCGGCUUUCUAUUUAACUUGGAGAGAAUGGAAAUAAAAUUAAGUGGCGAUGUGAUAAUAGGAAGCUGCUUAGAAAGCAAACGCUGUGGGUUUUAUUUUUUACCGUUUACUGCCUGGAGAUAGACUGCUCUCUAGUUUCCCACAUUAAAAACCCGGGGCAAUUAGUCGACGUCUCCCUGUACCUGCCUGUCCUACACAUGCAGAUUAUGAGCAAACGAAAAGGCACGAAAGAUCCGGGGGGGCAGAGGUACCUGGGCUCUGAGAGACCCAGGAGGGCACCCGGGCAGCCCCUCUGCUGCCGCCCGGCAACACCGCACGGGCCGGGAAGGUCUGAGGCACCGGCGCGCUUUGUUUUGGGAGACAAUAAGCUGUCGAGCCCUAAUGAGAGUCCCUGUCUCUUCCGCUGAUCUUUCCCCAGAUCUCUCCAAGAGCUAAUGUUCUCCCCCCACCCCCUCCCCAACACCCAUCUAUAACACCACUUCCCGGCUUCUCUUCACGUGCACCUUUUGUAAACAGCAGAUCUAUAGGUGGAGACGCUCACGCUGCCCUCGCUGGGCUUUCCCCGUGUUAAAACAACAACAACAACAACUGCUGUGUGUGCGCGGCGAUAAAAAAGAUCUUUGCCGCGAUGAAGAGACGGGGGGCACAGCCCCAGAUCUAGGCUUCUUUGCCUUUAUCAAUUGCAAUUAGGUGGACAGCCUUCCCCCUCUUCCCUUGCUCCAGUCUGGGAUGAUAAUUAAAAUUUAAUGAAGCCUGGGAGUAGCAGAGCUCUGUCUGGGGACUGUGGAAUAGAAUAUUUUAACUGUACAUUUACACCAAAUGUCUGGCUUCAAAGACGUGACUGCUUUUAAUCUCGAAUUAGAAAACCACAGACCUGAAAUUAAAUAUUAGCCACCCUCGGCUCCCCUUCCUUCUCACCACACUGUCACGCCUGUGUUUUCCUGCCUUGCACCACGACACGCACACACCCACGUCUCGAGUCUCCAGUUACACUCGCGUUAAUAAUAGAUGGCUUUGAGAGGGUGCGGAUUUUUCUUUUUUUUUUUUUUUUUUUAAAUAGGGUUAAUGCAAUAUUAAUUGCUCGUAGCUGCUAUAAGAAUGCGCCGCGUAUUUCCAAGAACAAAUCGAUGGAUCGGGGCAGCGAGCGCGGAGCAGGGAGCGCAGCCCCGGGGCCGCCCGGGUGAGACCCCCAGGCUCUCCCGCAGGAGGGAGCCCGGAGGCGCAGGAGGGGAACCUGCCCCGCGGCUCGGCGCGUCCGGCAAAGGUAAAGGCGUUUUUUGGAGGAGGACACCUCGCAAAUAAGGUGGGCCGGGGGAGGAGGAGAGGGCAAGAAAAAGAAUCCCAACCCACCAGCCAAAAAAUCCCCAAGAAAACUGCGCCUGUACCCACAGACAGCUGGGACCACCUUCCCGUGGCGGGGGCGUUGCUGACCUGCUCACACGGCUCCUCGGUGCCAGAGGCAUCCUGGAGGUCGGGGGCUGCCGUGAGCUCGGGUGGGGUGGGUCACGCCUUCCCUAUCCCGGGUCCGGACGCACAGCUGCCAUUUGUUGCCAAAAGAAAAAAAAAAAAGGCAAGGGAAAAAGAAUCCAACUAAAAACCUGCCACAAAACUCCGAACAAUCCUCCAAACCAAAACAACGGAGGAAGAAAAAAGGUGCUGCGGGAGCGCGGGGCGGCAGAGACACCGCCAGCUGGGACAGCCUCGGAGCUUGUGUGCCUGCAGGAGCGGGCUUUGCAGCUGGGCCCCCGCCUCGGCCCUGCCCCAGCCCUCCGCGGCCGCGGAGCCCGCGGGGCGCAGCGCUGCCUGUCCGGGGAGGGCUGGGCCAGCCCAAACCCCCGUGGGUGUCCUGGCACCGUCCUCCCCUGCGGGCGCAGCCGCCGCCUCCCCUGAGCAACUGGCCCCGGAGCCGAACGGACUUCCUCCUUCCCGCCCCAGAGAACCCGCUUGGACGCCGAGGGGGUGGUGGGGCCGAUGCCGCUGCGAGCCCCUGUGCGCGGCGAAGGGGGGACAGGAGCAGGUGGGGUACGGAGCUCCGCGCAUCCUCGCGGUGUUUGCACAGCGGGCGGGGCCGGGGGCUGCGCGCCCCGUCCGACUGCGGCACGGCUCGCCAGCGCGGCCGGGCUCGGCUCGCCUCCCCUCCCCGUUUAUACAGAACAGGAUCAUUUACAUAAAGUCCUUAAGGCAAAUAACUGUUGGGGCUCUAAUUUAUAUCUGAUCGAAAAUUAGCCGUCAUUAUGCGCUCCAUUAGCAGCGUCUUUAAUGUGCUUCUAAGCACCAUUUGUCAAGCGGCUUGUUAAUAUCCUUCAAGUCUUUAAAGUUGAGAGCUCAUUAAAGAGUGCGCUCUGUUAUUGAUGUAAUUUAGAUGAGUUUGGAAGAGCAAGUGCGCCGCGGACAACCUGGAGGAGCGGGAGGAGACUCGGGCUCCUCCCGGGGCUGCGGCACCCCCUCAUCGUGGCCUGGGCCGGCCCGGGGCUCGCCUCCCUUCUUGGGAUGGGGUGCGGGGGAUGCUCCGGCAGUGGAGAGUCGGGGGGAGCCUCUUUUAGCUGAGGCGGAGUAAACCUGCUUAAUUAUGCGCAGACACGAUUCCGUCGUCUCUCCCCACUUCAUCGAAAGAGCAUAAAGGCCAAUAAAUUACCACCGCUGCUUAUCUGAAAA